UCCGAUUUGUCACCGGCAGUCUCCCAUGAGUCCCCGGCAUUAUCCGCUGGCAACAUGGGACAGGGGUUGCGCUCGUUGCGGGACUUAACCCAACAUCUCACGGCACGAGCUGACGACAGCCAUGCAGCACCUGUGCAGGCUCCCGAAGGAGCGCCGGCUUUCACCGGCUUCACCCUGCAUGUCAAGCCCAGGUAAGGUUCUUCGCGUUGCGUCGAAUUAAACCACAUGCUCCGCUGCUUGUGCGGGUCCCCGUCAAUUCCUUUGAGUUUUAGCCUUGCGGCCGUACUCCCCAGGCGGGGCACUUAAUGCGUUAGCUGCGGCACCCAGGGGGUCAAUACCCCGGACACCUAGUGCCCAUCGUUUACAGCGUGGACUAC
RNAcentral lists this unclassified non-coding RNA (377 nucleotides) under uncultured bacterium. RNAcentral's name for it is "contains 16S-23S intergenic spacer region". The record is from RNAcentral.